CCUACGGGAGGCAGCAGUGGGGAAUCUUAGACAAUGGGCGCAAGCCUGAUCUAGCCAUGCCGCGUGAGUGACGAAGGCCUUAGGGUCGUAAAGCUCUUUCGCCAGGGAUGAUAAUGACAGUACCUGGUAAAGAAACCCCGGCUAACUCCGUGCCAGCAGCCGCGGUAAUACGGAGGGGGUUAGCGUUGUUCGGAAUUACUGGGCGUAAAGCGCGCGUAGGCGGAUUGGAAAGUUGGGGGUGAAAUCCCAGGGCUCAACCCUGGAACUGCCUCCAAAACUAUCAGUCUAGAGUUCGAGAGAGGUGAGUGGAAUUCCGAGUGUAGAGGUGAAAUUCGUAGAUAUUCGGAGGAACACCAGUGGCGAAGGCGGCUCACUGGCUCGAUACUGACGCUGAGGUGCGAAAGUGUGGGGAGCAAACAGGAUUAGAUACCCUAGUAGUCCACACCGUAAACGAUGAAUGCCAGACGUCAGGGGGUUUUACCCUUUGGUGUCACACCUAACGGAUUAAGCAUUCCGCCUGGGGAGUACGGUCGCAAGAUUAAAACUCAAAGGAAUUGACGG
RNAcentral lists this ribosomal RNA (561 nucleotides) under uncultured Alphaproteobacteria bacterium. Its description in RNAcentral is "bacterial SSU rRNA". It matches the Rfam family "Bacterial small subunit ribosomal RNA", at positions 338 to 916 of the family's 1533-position model. Lineage: Bacteria; Pseudomonadati; Pseudomonadota; Alphaproteobacteria. The record is from RNAcentral.